AACGAACGCUGGCGGCAUGCCUAACACAUGCAAGUCGAACGAGACCUUCGGGUCUAGUGGCGCACGGGUGCGUAACGCGUGGGAAUCUGCCCUUGGGUUCGGAAUAACAGUUGGAAACGACUGCUAAUACCGGAUGAUGACGUAAGUCCAAAGAUUUAUCGCCCAAGGAUGAGCCCGCGUAGGAUUAGCUAGUUGGUGAGGUAAAGGCUCACCAAGGCGACGAUCCUUAGCUGGUCUGAGAGGAUGAUCAGCCACACUGGGACUGAGACACGGCCCAGACUCCUACGGGAGGCAGCAGUGGGGAAUAUUGGACAAUGGGCGAAAGCCUGAUCCAGCAAUGCCGCGUGAGUGAUGAAGGCCUUAGGGUUGUAAAGCGUCUUUUACCCGGGAUGAUAAUGACAGUACCGGAGAAUAAGCUCCGGCUAACUCCGUGCCAGCAGCCGACGGUAAGUGACUACUG
This 460-nucleotide ribosomal RNA is filed under the name uncultured bacterium. RNAcentral's name for it is "bacterial SSU rRNA". It matches the Rfam family "Bacterial small subunit ribosomal RNA", at positions 29 to 531 of the family's 1533-position model. The record is from RNAcentral.